ACUCCUGACCUCAGGUGAUCCACCCGCCUCGGCCUCCCAAAGUGCUGGGAUUAUAGGCGUGAGCCACCGCACCCAGCUGUUUUCUGAUUUUAAGUAGCUAAGGAGUCUGGCUUUCUGCUGGAAUCAUUUGGAAAGGUCGUGGGAGAAACAUCUCAAGCCUGCCUAGGUUGUCUCUUUAGGGCCUGGCCUCUGGCUUAGGGCACUAGUUGUCAGAACCCAGAA
Molecule: long non-coding RNA, 222 nt
Filed under: Homo sapiens (human)
Lineage: Eukaryota; Metazoa; Chordata; Mammalia; Primates; Hominidae
Description: non-protein coding lnc-EPHX3-7:1
Source: RNAcentral